RNAcentral lists this long non-coding RNA (794 nucleotides) under Oryza brachyantha (malo sina). Its description in RNAcentral is "long non-coding RNA (OBRA_LNC002859)". The record is from RNAcentral. Lineage: Eukaryota; Viridiplantae; Streptophyta; Magnoliopsida; Poales; Poaceae.
UGCCGGCUCGGCUGGCCACCCUCCGUUCCCCGUCAAGUUUCCGGCCACCAACCGCUGCCGCGUCAGUUCAUAUAGACCAUGCAUCGAUCGGCAGCAUAUCGCCUGCAUCGUCCUAUGAAGUAUACGUACACACUCAUCAGAAUGAUUGACGCUAGUUCAUUUUGAUGUCCAUCGAUCGAUCAAUGGCGCCGAGGAGAAUGGACAUCGGCGGUCGGGUCGGCGUCGGCGGCGUCGUCCGCUUCGUCUUCUGCGUAGCCGCGGUGGUGAUGGCGGCGGUGCUCACCGGCAGCAGCCUUGGCGCGGCGGCGGCGCCCAGGAGCAUCGCCUACAAUACCAUCGCUCGGGGCCCGGCGUGCGUUGGGCCGUGCGUUCCAGGGAAGUCCAACUUGCAGGGCGGCCAUUGUUUGGAUGUCUACCAUUGCCAGCAUUAGUUCGUUGUGCGCCUCUCAUUAUGUACUUCCGUACAUUAAUUAAUUGCUUUGAUAGAGUUUAUCCCAAGGCUAAUGAUGUUUGUCAGCGCUAGCUUUUGCACAUCUAUCUUUCAUCGUAUUGUACUGUACUGAAUCAGUGAAUCAUCUGAAGCUAAAUUUAUAUAUGGUUGCGUUAGUGUGUCGUCACAGGACUAUGAUUCUUAGUCUUCAAGUUUAGAUAUAUAGCUGCAUGCACAUUUUAGAUCAUUUAGAUUAAUUAUACUGGGCUCUUCCGUGUGACUAAAAAUGUCCACGUGGCUCCGUUUAUGUAAUAUGUUGUUGUAAUUGUAUAUGAUAUAAACGUAAUGACAUUAUAUAAUGGCA